ACGCUCGACACCUACGGGAGCAGCAGUGGGGAAUAUUGCACAAUGGGGGAAACCCUGAUGCAGCGACGCCGCGUGAGUGAAGAAGUAUUUCGGUAUGUAAAGCUCUAUCAGCAGGGAAGAAGAUGACGGUACCUGAGUAAGAAGCCCCGGCUAACUACGUACCACGCAGCCGCCGGGUAAGUACUGAGGCGGGCGUGGCGAAGGACG
RNAcentral lists this ribosomal RNA (207 nucleotides) under uncultured bacterium. Its description in RNAcentral is "partial 16S ribosomal RNA". It matches the Rfam family "Bacterial small subunit ribosomal RNA", at positions 328 to 542 of the family's 1533-position model. The record is from RNAcentral.